GCUGGGCACGGUGGCUCAUGCCUGUAAUCCCAGCACUUUGGGAGGCCGAGGUGGGUGGAUCACCUGAGGCCAGGAGCUCGAGACCAGCCUGGCCAACAUGGUGAAACCCCAUCUCUA
RNAcentral lists this small RNA (117 nucleotides) under Pongo abelii (Sumatran orangutan). Its description in RNAcentral is "Metazoan signal recognition particle RNA (ENSPPYG00000038626.1)". The record is from Rfam by way of RNAcentral. Lineage: Eukaryota; Metazoa; Chordata; Mammalia; Primates; Hominidae.